This is an RNA transcript of Rhodamnia argentea, 3211 nucleotides long. It is a transcript of the gene named G-type lectin S-receptor-like serine/threonine-protein kinase CES101, with no coding region annotated. Lineage: Eukaryota; Viridiplantae; Streptophyta; Magnoliopsida; Myrtales; Myrtaceae. The record is from RefSeq and is a predicted model, not a curated record. The transcript has 8 exons.
AGUCUAACAAGAGAAGAAAAAAGAUCUUGCAAUAGCCACAGUAAGAAAAAUCCUAGGCCUUUGUCUUUGCCUCUUGUCCAAGACAAUUUGGCAUUCUUGAACCAGAUGAGAGCCUAAAGCAAGUAAGAACUCGUGCAAGAUAUCAAUGGUCAUCUUUCUUGCAGAAGAAGAUGGUGAAACUUGGAACCCUCUUCCUUGUCCUCUUGUUUUCGUUCACCUCCAGAGCAGAAAUUCUAUUCCAACUGAUGCAGGGCCAACAGCUGAGGGACUGGGAACACCUUCUUGCUCCACAGGGUACGUUCAAACUAGGCUUCUUCAGCCCAGGCUCUUCAAGUUACCGUUACUUGGGAAUAUGGUACAGCAAACUACCGCAUAAUCCCGACGCCGUCUGGGUGGCAAAUCCGAACAACCCUAUUUUCAAUUCGUCUGGUGUCCUGAACUUGGACAGUGAUGGACGUUUGAAGAUAACUGCAAAUGGUGGCCAGACGAUUGUGGUGAGUUCCAAUGAUCCGGCGACAACUAACGUGACGCUCAGUUUGCUCGAUACCGGGAAUUUGCUAUUGAGGGAGGUGAAUUCUGAUGGAACAGUGGGAAGGGUUUUGUGGCAGAGUUUUGAUCAUCCAGCGAGCACUCUACUUCCAGGAAUGAAGCUGGGUUUAGACAUAAAAGCCGGGACUAACUGGACGCUUACCUCAUGGCUAAGCGACCGGGACCCAGCUCCAGGAGCUUUCCGUCUAGGCGUGGAUCCUGGAAGUGCCAACCAGCUAGUGAUUUGGCAUCACGAGGAGAUAUAUUGGACAAGUGGAAUAUGGGAAGAUGGAGGAUUUCAGAUGGCACCCGAGCUGACCCAAGACAAGACUGCAUAUGAGUUCAGUUUUGUGUCAGAUGAAAACGAGAAGUACUUCACUUUCUCUUUGAAGAAGAGCUCCACCAUCACAAGGUGGGAAAUUAAUCUAUGGGGGCAAAUAGUACAGUCUACUCUGGCCAAUGAUGGAGUUACUUGGCUCUACUCGAGUACCAGUUCAUGCAACUCGAACCGGAAUUACUCAGGUGCUGUGUGUGUGGAUCAAAAGCCGUCAGCUUGUAGGAAUGGCUCGGAGCUGUUUGUGCCACAGAGAGGCUACUAUAAUAAAGGGGAAUUGCUCUUUUCUGAUAAUAAUUCGAGCUUGACCCUGAGUGAUUGCCAUUCCAUGUGCUGGAACAAUUGCUCUUGCAUAGCUUUUGGGAGUCUUUUUACCGAUGGAACAGGAUGUGAGUUUUGGAACAGGGGAGGAACAUAUGUUCCAAAUGAUAACUUUGAUGUUCUCUAUGUGCUUACCUCGGCUGUCAAUAAUGCUGAAGGAGGUUCAACGAGCAAAAGGAAAAACAGGUGGUGGGUAUGGUUGGUCACAGCCACUGUCCUAGCUGCGGCUAUGCUAAUAUUGAGUUAUCUUCUAUACUUAAAAAGGAGAAAGCUGAUGCUUCUGCAAAACAACGAAGAAUUGGAAACAAAGCGGGACCAUGCAUUGCUAAACCAGCAAAAGAUGCCCUCUAACAAAUUCGGCAACUCAAAUAGGCUGAAACGGAGUAAAACGAGUCGCAGUGACUUUCAUCAGUAUAGCUUUUCUGAAGUAGAUGCUGCGACAGAUUGCUUUGCACCUGCUAACAAGCUGGGAGAGGGAGGUUUUGGACCAGUUCAUAAGGGUACCCUGCUGGAUGGACAACAAAUUGCAGUGAAAAGGCUCUCAAGAAAUUCAGGACAAGGGCUUGAGGAGUUCAUGAAUGAAAUUACAUUGAUUGCUGAACUUCAACACACAAACCUGGUUAAGCUACUCGGUUGCUGCAUCCAAGGGGAAGAGAAGAUGCUGAUCUAUGAAUACAUGCCAAACAAAAGCUUGGACUCAUUUCUUUUCGAUCCAGUGAAAAGGAAAUUGCUGGACUGGAAUAAACGCCUGAGUAUAAUCGAAGGUGUCGCACAAGGGCUUCUUUAUCUCCAUAAGUAUUCAAGACUUAAAGUGAUACACAGAGAUUUAAAAGCCAGCAACAUUUUACUCGACGAUGAUAUGAACCCCAAGAUAUCAGAUUUCGGGAUGGCUAGGAUUUUUGGGCAGAAUGAAUCCAGAGCUAACACCAACAGGGUAGUCGGAACAUAUGGUUACAUGUCUCCUGAGUAUGCCAUGAAAGGAAUAUUCUCAGUGAAGUCUGAUGUCUUCAGUUUUGGAGUUCUACUUCUGGAGAUUGUUACUGGCAGGAAAAAUACUGUUUUCACAUCAUCCACUCCUGUUGGCCUCCUAGAACAGACAUGGGACCUAUGGAGUCGAGGUGCCAUUUUGGAGCUGAUGGACCCAUCUCUCGGUUCCUCAUGCCCGAAGAAUGAACUGAUCAGAAUCAUCCAUGUUGGUCUUCUCUGUGUUCAAGAGGGUGCCACGGAUAGACCGACCAUGUCCGACGUUAUUUCGAUGAUCACAAAUGACAGCGUUUCCCUACCAGAUCCAAAACAAGCGGCAUACUGCAUAGGGAAAAGUGAAUCUGGAGAAUCAUCCAGUGGGAAGUCGAAUCUUUAUUCCAUCAAUGAUGUAUCUAUAUCAAUAAUGCAAGCGAGAUAGAAAGUCCUUCAUACUUCAGAUUAGUAUUCCAACAGUUUUUUUUUUUUUUUUACGGAUAUUUUCAUUGUAUUAGAGUAGGCAGGAUAGAGCACACCUACUUGUAAGUUGUAAACGGACAGACUGAGCAGUUGCUUGCAAAGAAUGUAGGAAGGUUGAGCAACGUUUGGUCACUGUGAGGAGUCUUCUGCUUACUGCUUCUCAGGCGAAGCCCUCUCUUCAUUCUCAGGAUUCUUCUUUACGAUCACCGCUAUUCGAGGGUGGAGACUAGCUCGACGUGAGGAACAGAGCAUCUGCAGGGGCCAAAACAACACAAAUCCCGAUAUGAAAGCCGAAAGGUGACGAAGGAGAGGGAACUGCAGACGCAGAGAGGCACGUCGACGCCAUCACCUCACUCCACGGGAGAGCGUCUUCUCCUUCUCCUUCUCCUUCUCCUUCUCCUCCCACUCCCUCGCCGAGCACACCACACGCCUUCAGCACUGCCUAUCUCAAAUCCACUGAAUCGGUCUUUCGGUACUCAGGACUGAAACUGCGGAUCGUCAUUUGAUGCCAUGGUCGAAGCCCAGUAAUUUUUGGGCCGUGACCAAUUCAGAUGGUUCAGUUCAUGGAAAGGGGGUCAAGCUACAUGA